RNAcentral lists this ribosomal RNA (920 nucleotides) under uncultured bacterium. RNAcentral describes it as "bacterial SSU rRNA". It matches the Rfam family "Bacterial small subunit ribosomal RNA", at positions 33 to 944 of the family's 1533-position model. The record is from RNAcentral.
ACGCUAGCUACAGGCUUAACACAUGCAAGUCGAGGGGAAACGGCAUUAAGUGCUUGCACUUUUUGGACGUCGACCGGCGCACGGGUGAGUAACGCGUAUCCAACCUUCCCAUGACUAAGGGAUAACCUGCCGAAAGGCAGACUAAUACCUUAUGGUCUUCACUGACGGCAUCAGAUGUGAAGUAAAGAUUUAUCGGUUAUGGAUGGGGAUGCGUCUGAUUAGUUAGUUGGCGGGGUAACGGCCCACCAAGGCAAUGAUCAGUAGGGGUUCUGAGAGGAAGGUCCCCCACAUUGGAACUGAGACACGGUCCAAACUCCUACGGGAGGCAGCAGUGAGGAAUAUUGGUCAAUGGGCGAGAGCCUGAACCAGCCAAGUAGCGUGCAGGAUGACGGCCCUAUGGGUUGUAAACUGCUUUUGUAUGGGGAUAAAGUCAAUCACGUGUGAUUGUUUGCAGGUACCAUACGAAUAAGGACCGGCUAAUUCCGUGCCAGCAGCCGCGGUAAUACGGAAGGUCCGGGCGUUAUCCGGAUUUAUUGGGUUUAAAGGGAGCGUAGGCUGGAGAUUAAGUGUGUUGUGAAAUGUAGACGCUCAACGUCUGACUUGCAGCGCAUACUGGUUUCCUUGAGUACGCACAACGUUGGCGGAAUUCGUCGUGUAGCGGUGAAAUGCUUAGAUAUGACGAAGAACUCCGAUUGCGAAGGCAGCUGACGGGAGCGCAACUGACGCUGAAGCUCGAAGGUGCGGGUAUCGAACAGGAUUAGAUACCCUGGUAGUCCGCACAGUAAACGAUGGAUGCCCGCUGUUGGUACGUGGUAUCAGCGGCUAAGCGAAAGCAUUAAGCAUCCCACCUGGGGAGUACGCCGGCAACGGUGAAACUCAAAGGAAUUGACGGGGGCCCGCACAAGCGGAGGAACAUGUGG